GGUCCCAAGAGCUGUGCCUCCCGUGAUCCCAAUAAGGAAGAAGGAUGCAGAAACUCCUGUGUUUGGUGACUCUGGGUCUUCAGCUGGCUAGGGUGAACAGCCAACAAGGAGAAGCAAGUCCUCAGGUUCUGAGCAUCCGGGAGGGAAACAAUGCCACCAUGAACUGCAGUUACAGAACUGGUAUAACCAACCUGCAGUGGUAUAGACAGGAUUCAGGUAAAGGUCCUGCUCUGGUGAUUUUAAUACGUUCAAAUGAGAGAGAAAAACGCAAUGGAAGACUAACAGUCACCCUGGACACCUCCACCCAAAGAAGCAUCCUGUCCAUCACCGCUUCCCUGGCUGCAGAUGCUGCUACUUACUUCUGUGCUACAGAAGCACAGUGA
Sciurus carolinensis (gray squirrel) is the source of this 383-nucleotide non-coding RNA. The record is from the annotation of a RefSeq genome assembly. NCBI's taxonomy places the organism in Eukaryota, Metazoa, Chordata, Mammalia, Rodentia, Sciuridae.